GUCUUUUAAUUGAGGUCUGGAAUGAAUGGUUGGAUGAAAAAUAUACUUUCUUUUUUUUAUAUAUAAAAUUUAAUUUUUUAGUUAAAAAGCUAAAGUUUAAUUAUAGGACGAGAAGACCCUAUAGAGCUUUAUUUUUGAUUUUAUAUAUUUAUUAUAGAAUUUAUAUAAAUUAUAUAAAAAUUAAAUUUUGUUGGGGUGACAGAAAAAAAUCAAUAACUUUUUCUAUUUUUUUCAUUAUAAAUGAAUAUUUGAUCCUUUUUUAUGGAUAAAAGAUUUAGUUACCUUAGGGAUAACAGCGUUAUUAUUUUAGAGAGUUCUUAUCGAUAAAAUAGUUUGCGACCUCGAUGUUGGAUUAUAAUAAGAUAUAGGAGUAGAAUAUUAUAUUCUAGGUCUGUUCGACCUUUAAAUUUUUACA
Molecule: ribosomal RNA, 415 nt
Filed under: Orthotylus sp. SJ-2010
Lineage: Eukaryota; Metazoa; Arthropoda; Insecta; Hemiptera; Miridae
Description: partial 16S ribosomal RNA
Rfam family: Bacterial large subunit ribosomal RNA (bases 289-415)
Source: RNAcentral